RNAcentral lists this ribosomal RNA (627 nucleotides) under uncultured bacterium. RNAcentral's name for it is "bacterial SSU rRNA". It matches the Rfam family "Bacterial small subunit ribosomal RNA", at positions 51 to 679 of the family's 1533-position model. The record is from RNAcentral.
ACACAUGCAGCCGAGCGGUAUUGUUUCUUCGGAAAUGAGAGAGCGGCGUACGGGUGCGGAACACGUGUGCAACCUGCCUUUAUCUGGGGGAUAGCCUUUCGAAAGGAAGAUUAAUACUCCAUAAUAUAUUGAACGGCAUCGUUUAAUAUUGAAAGCUCCGGCGGAUAGAGAUGGGCACGCGCAAGAUUAGCUAGUUGGUGAGGUAACGGCUCACCAAGGCGAUGAUCUUUAGGGGGCCUGAGAGGGUGAUCCCCCACACUGGUACUGAGACACGGACCAGACUCCUACGGGAGGCAGCAGUGAGGAAUAUUGGUCAAUGGGUGCAAGCCUGAACCAGCCAUCCCGCGUGAAGGACGACUGCCCUAUGGGUUGUAAACUUCUUUUGUAUAGGGAUAAACCUACCCUCGUGAGGGUAGCUGAAGGUACUAUACGAAUAAGCACCGGCUAACUCCGUGCCAGCAGCCGCGGUAAUACGGAGGGUGCAAGCGUUAUCCGGAUUUAUUGGGUUUAAAGGGUCCGUAGGCGGACUUAUAAGUCAGUGGUGAAAGCCUGUCGCUUAACGAUAGAACUGCCAUUGAUACUGUAAGUCUUGAGUAUAUUUGAGGUAGCUGGAAUAAGUAGUGUAGC